Oxyura jamaicensis (ruddy duck) is the source of this 769-nucleotide long non-coding RNA. RefSeq lists it as uncharacterized. Lineage: Eukaryota; Metazoa; Chordata; Aves; Anseriformes; Anatidae. The record is from RefSeq and is a predicted model, not a curated record. The transcript has 3 exons.
GACAGAGAUGCUAGAGAUAAAAGGAAGGCAGAUUUUGCUUGGUGUACUUUCCUACUAGGAAGGAGAGGGUUGCUUUUUACUGCAGCUCUUUCCCUGUGAAAUAAGUGGCUUGUGGUUAUAUCCCUUUCUGCAGAGAAAGGCAUAGAUACUCAAGCCUUAUACUUUGAUAGGUAUUAAUACCAGAAUGGACCACAACAGUUAUUCACAGUGUGACUUUCUGUAUGCUACAGAUAUUAGUUUUUGUGAGGUGAUUCCUGCCUCUUAGCAUAGGGGCUUGUGAAUAUGCAAUAUAAGUGUUUGUAAGACCACCUGACAUUACUUCCUGUGAUUGCAAGACCCCCCGAGGAUAUGUUACGUGUGUUUCCUGUUACUUCUCCUAGGGAUUCUGACUAGUAUGAAGGGAAGCCUACCUCUCCCCAUUAGAUGCCCUGCAGCCUACAGAGCAAUGCAGAUACCAGGCUCGACAUGCUCACACAAGAGGGUUUGGGGUUCUGCUUCACAGUGAGACACUGACAGAAUCAGAGGGAACUAUGUCAUCCUGUGAUCUGAUUUUCAUCUCGAAGGCUUCACUCAGGUUUCGGAAAAAGUCUUUUUCCAGUGACAUUUAAUCCACCCUCACGCACGCUGUUUCUUGUCUUUCCUGACUCUGUUCAGGUGGAAACUUUUCUCAGCUACAAAUAGCUGCAUUUAUUACGUAUGUCCUUGCUUCCUUUAGGAUGCAUUGGAAAAUCCACUACAAAUAUAUAGUAGGACAGAGUCCAAAUUUUAA